This 492-nucleotide ribosomal RNA is filed under the name uncultured bacterium. RNAcentral's name for it is "partial 16S ribosomal RNA". It matches the Rfam family "Bacterial small subunit ribosomal RNA", at positions 29 to 507 of the family's 1533-position model. The record is from RNAcentral.
AGUGAACGCUGGCGGUAGGCCUAACACAUGCCAGUCGAACGGCAGCACAGUAAGAGCUUGCUCUUACGGGUGGCGAGUGGCGGACGGGUGAGGAAUACAUCGGAAUCUACUUUUUCGCGGGGGAUAACGUAGGGAAACUUACGCUAAUACCGCAUACGACCUACGGGUGAAAGCAGGGGAUCUUCGGACCUUGCGCGAUUGAAUGAGCCGAUGUCGGAUUAGCUAGUUGGCGGGGUAAAGGCCCACCAAGGCGACGAUCCGUAGCUGGUCUGAGAGGAUGAUCAGCCACACUGGAACUGAGACACGGCCCAGACUCCUACGGGAGGCAGCAGUGGGGAAUAUUGGACAAUGGGCGCAAGCCUGAUCCAGCCAUACCGCGUGGGUGAAGAAGGCCUUCGGGUUGUAAAGCCCUUUUGUUGGGAAAGAAAAGCAGCAGGUUAAUACCCCGCUGUUCUGACGGUACCCAAAGAAUAAGCACCGGCUAACUUCGUG